GCUUUUCAUCUGCAGUUUUUUUUCAAGUUACAGGCCCUUUUAAGAACAGUCCAAGAACUGUCCUUACUUUGACGGGCUUUUUCCUUUUCUUUUUUUUUCUGGCAGGUGUCAGAACUAUGCUUCUGCUCCGUGCUUUACCAAAAUGGAGAUGUUCUGACCCUGUGGGUGCAGGAGGAAAGCACCAGACUCUUGCUACCACUAUUGCUUAAGGAAGUAACAGUGAAAAUUCACUUUCAACCAUCUGUUCUCUCAGUGCAAGGUUCUCCAUAUUCUCACUGUCAGUACAAGCACAGCAGUAUUAAAAUCCUCGGGAAAGAAAAUUCCAUCUCCUCCUGCUGCAUCUUUCAGAGAAGUCAUCUAGUCAAAUGUCUUUUGUGGCAGGUCUGGAAAGUCACCAGUUUACGCAUAAGUGAAUAAAGGGAUUACCAUUCUCCAGCGGCUAAAGGAGAACAAGGAAAUGAGAAGAGGAAGGGAAGGGAACCAUUUGGCAGAACAUCCCAUAUAAAGAUUGUCUUAACAAUGCUUUUA
Molecule: long non-coding RNA, 528 nt
Organism: Serinus canaria (Common canary)
Lineage: Eukaryota; Metazoa; Chordata; Aves; Passeriformes; Fringillidae
Exons: 2
Source: RefSeq, a predicted model, not a curated record